This 406-nucleotide ribosomal RNA is filed under the name uncultured bacterium. Its description in RNAcentral is "partial 16S ribosomal RNA". It matches the Rfam family "Bacterial small subunit ribosomal RNA", at positions 29 to 526 of the family's 1533-position model. The record is from RNAcentral.
AUUGAACGCUGGCGGCAGGCCUAACACAUGCAAGUCGAGCGAGCGGCGGACGGGUGAGUAAUGUCUGGGAAACUGCCUGACGGAGGGGGAUAACUACGGGAAACGGUAGCUACUCCCCCAUACUAUCAGACGCGCCCAGAGGGGACUAGCUAGUGGGUGGGGUAACGGCUCACCUAGGCGACGAUCCCUAGCUGGUCUGAGAGGAUGCCCAGCCACACUGGAACUGGGACACGGUCCAGACUCCUACGGGAGGCAGCCGUGGGGAAUAUUGCACAAUGGGCGCAAGCCUGAUGCAGCCAUGCCGCGUGUAGGAAGAAGGCCUUCGGGUUGUAAAGUACUUUCCGCGGGGAGGCGUUACCCGCAGAAGACGCACCGGCUAACUCCGUGCCAGCAGCCGCGGUAAUAC